This 253-nucleotide ribosomal RNA is filed under the name uncultured bacterium. Its description in RNAcentral is "partial 16S ribosomal RNA". It matches the Rfam family "Bacterial small subunit ribosomal RNA", at positions 524 to 776 of the family's 1533-position model. The record is from RNAcentral.
GACAGAGGGUGCGAACGUUGUUCGGAAUUACUGGGCGUAAAGGGCGUGCAGGCGGUUUGUUAAGUCUAGGGUGAAAGCUCCCGGCUCAACUGGGAGAGGUCCUUGGAUACUGGCAGACUUGAGGAGGGUAGAGGAGAGUGGAAUUCCAGGUGUAGCGGUGAAAUGCGUAGAUAUCUGGAGGAACACCGGUGGCGAAGGCGGCAUUCUGGACCGACAUUGACGCUGAGGAGCGAAAGCCAGGGGAGCAAACGGG